RNA transcript from Gymnodraco acuticeps, 2740 nucleotides. It is a transcript of the gene named alanine aminotransferase 2-like, with no coding region annotated. The record is from RefSeq and is a predicted model, not a curated record. Lineage: Eukaryota; Metazoa; Chordata; Actinopteri; Perciformes; Bathydraconidae. The transcript is spliced from 12 exons.
GCACGCUGAAUUGUGAGGGGAAGUUGGAGAAGGAACCAGCCAACCACGAGCGAAGGCGUGUCUCGCGGGUGGGAAUAUGAACACGAGAGGCUCAACUGUUAUUCGGAGCUCGAGGAGUGCGUGUGGAGGUAAACAACACGAGGCGAGCACUCUGAGCUCCUCGCGGAACAACUGGCAGAGCUGAUACCCAGACAGAAGCAACAUGUCACAUCAGGCGAUGAACGGGUUCGGGGGCAAGGUGCUGACCCUGGAGAACAUGAACCCCAACGUGAGGAAGGUGGAGUACGCGGUGCGAGGAGCCAUCGUGCAGCGCGCGGAGCAGAUAGAGAAGGAGCUGAAAGAGGGAGUCAAGAAACCUUUCACAGAAGUCAUCAAGGCAAACAUUGGUGACGCCCACGCCAUGGGUCAGAAACCAAUCACAUUUUUCAGACAGGUCCUGGCUCUGUGUGCGUACCCUGAUCUCCUGGACGACAACAAGUUUCCAGAGGAUGCCAAGCAGAGAGCCCGGCGUAUCCUCGGGGCCUGCGGGGGCCACAGUAUAGGGGCCUACAGUGCGAGCCAGGGCAUCGAGUGCAUCCGUCAGGACGUGUCGCGCUACAUCGAGAAGAGAGACGGUGGGAUCCCCUCCAACCCCGACAACAUCUACCUCUCCACCGGGGCCAGCGACGCCAUUGUGACCAUGCUGAAGCUGCUGGUGUGUGGCGAGGGUCCCGACCGUACAGGAGUGAUGAUCUCCAUCCCUCAGUACCCGCUGUACUCGGCCGCGCUGGCAGACCUGGCUGCCGUGCAGAUCAGCUACUACCUGGACGAGGACAGGUGUUGGGGUCUGGACGUGGCGGAGCUGAAGAGAGCCUUGAGCGCCGCCCGGACACACUGCAACCCCCGCGUCAUCUGCAUCAUCAACCCCGGGAACCCCACUGGUCAGGUCCAGAGCAGGAAGUGCAUUGAAGAUGUCAUCCGAUUUGCCAAAGAGGAGCAUCUCUUCCUCAUGGCUGACGAAGUGUACCAGGACAACGUGUACGCAGAGGGCUGCAAGUUCCACUCCUUUAAGAAAGUGCUGUUUGAGAUGGGACCAGAGUUCUCCAGCACCGUGGAGAUGGCCUCCUUCCACUCCACCUCCAAAUGCUACAUGGGGGAGUGUGGGUUUCGCGGCGGCUACAUGGAGGUGAUCAACAUGGACCCUGAGGUGAAGGCCCAGCUCACGAAGCUGGUGUCGGUGCGUCUGUGCCCCCCCGUCACCGGCCAGGCUCUCCUGGAGCUGGUGGUGAACCCCCCCCAGCCCGACGAGCCCUCCUACAGCACCUUUAUGAAGGAGCGGACGGAGGUUCUUGCAGCGUUAGCAGAGAAGGCGGGGCUGACGGAGAAGACCUUCAACACAGUGCCAGGUAUCAUCUGUAACCCUGUGCAGGGGGCCAUGUACACCUUCCCCCGCAUCACUCUGCCGCAGAGGGCUAUCGACACAGCUAAGGGGAACAACGGAGCUGAUCCAGAUUUGCGUCCGAUAUGACGUAAUAUCUGAAAUGUGGACCCACGGCCCAAUCAGAAACGUUGCUAUCAGAAACAAUGCCCGACUGUUUUGGACGUAAUAUGGUCUUUGUUUACAUUAGCAUCGCUAACACUCAGAGCUAACCUGUACUGGAGAGAGCAUGUGAGAAAAAAAGGAAAUAAGGAAAGGAACUCACCUUGUGGAAAACCCAUGAGAGAAAAAGCAUUUGAGUUCCAUACUGCUUCAGAAAUAAUCCUUGAUGUGGUUUAGAACAUGCUGGCGUUUAAUCACGGCAGAAUUUGACUGAGUAUCUGCCGGGUAAUUCUGAGCAGAUAACCCCUAAGGACCCAAAUCAGCGUUUCUCUAACAGGGCUGGAAUAGAGGGAUAUGAGGGAUGUCUAAAAUGCAUGAUCGGUUUGGUAUUUUGAGCAAAACAUAUCAGACAUGUUUUUAUAUCUGAGACCCAUAAUAUAUGCCUAAAAAUAGCAUAAUAGGAGACCUUUAAAUACAUUUUCAUGUGUGUCCGUCCCCAGGAGGAAGGUCUGGCUCCAGACAUGUUGUACUGCAUGAGGCUGCUAGAGGAGGAGGGCAUCUGCCUCGUGCCAGGGAGUGGAUUUGGCCAGAGAGAGGGAACCUAUCACUUCAGGAUGACCAUCUUGCCUCCCACUGAGAAGCUGAAGGUUGUGCUGCAGAAAAUCCGGGACUUUCACGUGCGUUUCACAAAGCAGUUUUCCUAACGAGCUUCUCAGCAGAAGACCCAAUCAGUGCCCGUUUAAAGUGCCUUUGUGUGGAAGGAGCCGUCUUAGUCAGCUCGAGGCUGUGUUCUACUAAAUCUGAUUUUUAAAGAUAUUUUCACUGUUUUGCAUCAGUGAAAAACGUCUAUGCUGCUUCCUUGUUUAUGCAGCUAGUACAAAUUAGAUGUCCUAUGUGAAGCUGUAACUAUUGUCACUAAAUUAUGCACUUUCACAAAGAUCUACCCGGCCAGGUUUGUAUUACUCAGAACGAUGUUAAAAUGCUGAUUCUAUGUAAUUGAAAAAGUAUUCGUUCAGAUGUUUUCACAAAUGCAUUUCUCUCCUGCCAAGACCCCUAGAAAAACUAGCUGGAUGUAUUAUUCAAUGACAUGUUAGUUCAUUAACUAACCUGACUAACUUUAGUUACUGAACUGCAAGAGCUAUCCAUGAAUUUAAAGCCCGUCUCAGAUUGUAGACAUUUGUUUUACUAAUAUUAAAAUUGUUAUUAAAACCUUUUAAUCUG